This 473-nucleotide ribosomal RNA is filed under the name uncultured bacterium. RNAcentral's name for it is "bacterial SSU rRNA". It matches the Rfam family "Bacterial small subunit ribosomal RNA", at positions 355 to 825 of the family's 1533-position model. The record is from RNAcentral.
UGGGGAAUUGUUCACAAUGGGCGCAAGCCUGAUGACGCAACGCCGCGUGGGGGAUGAAGGUCUUCGGAUCGUAAACCCCUGUCGAAUGGGACGAAAGACUCGCGAGUGAAUACUUCGCGAGAGUGACGGUACCGUUAAAGGGAGCCACGGCUAACUCUGUGCCAGCAGCCGCGGUAAUACAGAGGUGGCAAGCGUUGUUCGGAAUUACUGGGCGUAAAGGGCGCGUAGGCGGCCCUCUAAGUCAGACGUGAAAUCCCCCGGCUUAACCUGGGAACUGCGUCUGAUACUGGAGGGCUUGAGUAUGGGAGAGGGAUGUAGAAUUCCAGGUGUAGCGGUGAAAUGCGUAGAUAUCUGGAGGAAUACCGGUGGCGAAGGCGGCAUCCUGGACCAUUACUGACGCUGAGGCGCGAAAGCUAGGGGAGCAAACGGGAUUAGAUACCCCCGUAGUCCCUGAGCGGGCUGGCAAGGCGCAU